UACGUAGGGUGCGAGCGUUGUCCGGAAUUAUUGGGCGUAAAGGGCUCGUAGGCGGUUUGUCGCGUCGGGAGUGAAAAUCCAGGGCUUAACUCUGGACUGGCUUCCGAUACGGGCAGACUAGAGGUAUGCAGGGGAGAACGGAAUUCCUGGUGUAGCGGUGAAAUGCGCAGAUAUCAGGAGGAACACCGGUGGCGAAGGCGGUUCUCUGGGACGGUACUGACGCUGAGACGCGAAAGCGUGGGGAGCGAACAGG
RNAcentral lists this ribosomal RNA (253 nucleotides) under uncultured bacterium. Its description in RNAcentral is "partial 16S ribosomal RNA". It matches the Rfam family "Bacterial small subunit ribosomal RNA", at positions 524 to 776 of the family's 1533-position model. The record is from RNAcentral.